UUUCUUGCAGAUGUUUCACUACCCAAGCUAGAUAACAUCUAUAAUGUUACCCUGUUUGGGUAAUGAAAUGUCUGCAAGAAAAUAACCAAACUCAGAAGCAUCAAGGAUCCUUCAUUUCAUCCCUGAGCUUACAAGUAUUCUCCUCUAUU
This is a non-coding RNA of Notechis scutatus (mainland tiger snake), 149 nucleotides long. The record is from RefSeq and is a predicted model, not a curated record. Lineage: Eukaryota; Metazoa; Chordata; Lepidosauria; Squamata; Elapidae.